AACAUCGCGCACCUGCGGGAACCUGCGGAAGGAUCAUUAACAAAUCCAUAUUUUAUGCCGCAAGGCGUAGAUAUAAAUUCGCUUGGCUGGCGCAAGCUGCCAAGUUGAAAGAUUGUGUAUAUAUUAUUAUAUAUAUAAAUGUAUGUGUAGUGUAGACAAGUGUGUGUGUAAAAACAAAAAUAAUUGACAACUUUCAACAACGGAUCU
Molecule: unclassified non-coding RNA, 207 nt
Filed under: soil metagenome
Description: partial contains 5.8S ribosomal RNA, internal transcribed spacer 2, and large subunit ribosomal RNA
Source: RNAcentral